UGGGGAAUAUUGCACAAUGGGCGCAAGCCUGAUGCAGCCAUGCCGCGUGUAUGAAGAAGGCCUUCGGGUUGUAAAGUACUUUCAGCGGGGAGGAAGGUGUUGAGGUUAAUAACCUCAGCAAUUGACGUUACCCGCAGAAGAAGCACCGGCUAACUCCGUGCCAGCAGCCGCGGUAAUACGGAGGGUGCAAGCGUUAAUCGGAAUUACUGGGCGUAAAGCGCACGCAGGCGGUCUGUCAAGUCGGAUGUGAAAUCCCCGGGCUCAACCUGGGAACUGCAUUCGAAACUGGCAGGCUAGAGUCUUGUAGAGGGGGGUAGAAUUCCAGGUGUAGCGGUGAAAUGCGUAGAGAUCUGGAGGAAUACCGGUGGCGAAGGCGGCCCCCUGGACAAAGACUGACGCUAAGGUGCGAAAGCGUGGGGAGCAAACA
RNAcentral lists this ribosomal RNA (427 nucleotides) under uncultured bacterium. Its description in RNAcentral is "partial 16S ribosomal RNA". It matches the Rfam family "Bacterial small subunit ribosomal RNA", at positions 355 to 774 of the family's 1533-position model. The record is from RNAcentral.